CUACAGCCAAUUUAGCCAUCUAAGCUCUGCUCCUCAAAGGAACUGGGUGCGAAAUGGCUGCAAAAAGCAGCCUCCCCUGCAGUGCACAGUUCCUGUUGCUUAUUUGGGCUGCUCUGAGAAGCCUUAGAGACAGCC
Molecule: small nucleolar RNA, 135 nt
Filed under: Chinchilla lanigera (long-tailed chinchilla)
Lineage: Eukaryota; Metazoa; Chordata; Mammalia; Rodentia; Chinchillidae
Description: Small nucleolar RNA SNORA70 (ENSCLAG00000019450.1)
Rfam family: Small nucleolar RNA SNORA70
About the family: snoRNA U70 seems to be exclusive to mammals and is a member of the H/ACA class of snoRNA which contain H (ANANNA) and ACA box motifs. H/ACA box snoRNAs are involved in the conversion of uridines to pseudouridines (5-ribosyluracil) a constituent of structural RNAs (transfer, ribosomal, small nuclear, and small nucleolar).
Source: Rfam by way of RNAcentral